AAUACUUUCUGAAGGCACUGUAUUUCCUGGCCCUGGCUGUGUUUACAGUGUGUUGAUGCAGCCUCAGCCUUCAAGUACUGCGGUUGAGUAUUUCCAUGUGAGCUGAUAGAACUCCCUAAUGUCUCUCUGUCUGGUGUUUUUCUUUCUCUCCCUUGUUUUCUUUGGACUGGUUCUGUGGUGUGUGUGUGUGUGUGUGUGUGUGUGUGUGUGUGUGUGUGUGUGUGUGUGUGUGUGUGUGUGUGUGUGUGUGUGUGUGUGUGUGUGUGUGUGUGUGUGUGUGUGUGUGUGUGUGUGUGUGUGUGUGUGUGUGUGUGUGUGUGUGUGUGUGUGUGUGUUACGUGCGCAUACCUGGUAGUGCUUUUCAACUUUGAAAGUAUUGCAAUACUGUAAGGUCUUUGGUUUUUGUCAGCAGUAGCCCUGUGUUUGAGCUCCAUGUGACAUCCUGUAAUACACGUGCCUUGUAGGGGCUUUACUGUUUUCAUAACUCUCUCACUCUGGCACUCUGGGUCAUAUGGAGCUCAUUAAUGUGCGGAGGGCUGCUUGAGAGAGCUAUAGUGCAUAGAAAUAUUGUGGCUAGACCUGCUAGGACUUUCUACCAUAUGUUGGCCUAUGCGUAUGGAAUGCAUAUAGAUCAGAGCCUGUGCUGUCUCACAAAAGCUCAGUCGUCGAGCCCCACGUCUGGAGACAACCCCUUGGGAAAAAUACCAGAGAGAGCUCAAGUUUCUUAGAGAGGAAAGACAGAGAAGAAGCUUUCGGACCACACGCAGAGUUAAAGAGGAGAUAAAAGAGACACAGAGUGGUUCUGACUGGGCCCAGAGUGAAAGAAGGAACAGAAGGUCCAGUUCAUUUACCACAAGCUACGUCUGGUUUCCUAUCCAGGGCUGACCAGGACCACCCCUUCUUAGCUUCAAAGGCAAAGCUGCAGUGGGAUGCCUCUGUGUUAUGUUGCUGGAAUGAAUAUGUUGAAACUUGCAACUGGCAAAAAAGGCAGCGAAUGCAAAGGCCAGGGUAACAACCAAACAUAGGAGAAUUGCAAGAAAGAGGGAGGCAUUUUAUUUAAUUGCGUUAUCAGAAAAGUAAAAAUAAAUCACUGAAAGAAACAUUUUUGCAUCCAUCUACAAUUCAUUUGUUCUCGCAUUGAACAAUUAUUUCCUCGUAAUAUUUUGUUUUGCUAUCAAUACUUUUGGGUUCAUGUUUAAAUUUCAAUAUCAUUCUUGUUUGUAGUACUAAGAAUUUUGUUCUCGACUUCAGAAGUUUUGCUUAAUAUUAAUGGCACAAAAGUAACUCACUCACUAGAGGAUUGCACCAUACAAUAACACUAUUACUAAACGUGUUUAAAGCAGCUAUCCUUAAUUGAAACAUGAACAAAGUGUCUUCGCCACAGUUUCAGUAAAAAUCUAAGAGAUGGGGCUGGAGAAAUGAAACCACUCUCAAAUCUAUAAAGUGCGCUAUGGAUUCAAGGACUGACCAUUUAUGAUAUCAAAAUUAUAUUUCAAACCAUGUUUUUAGGCUAUACAGUGUUUGUUUAGAUGUACUUUGUUCACAAACAUUGGGUUAUAUGGGGAAGUUUUCUUACAUGUGAAACUGAACAUUUGAUUUUCCAUGUGGUAUUGCAAGUUCACAUGUGAAAAACAAUCACGUGAAAGUUUUUCACAUGUGAAACUGCUAAUUAGAUAUUUACAUAUGGAGUUUUCUUACCUGCAAAUUUGAUUUUUUCAAAUGUGAUAGAUACAAUUUUAUUAUGAUUUGAAUCAGUUACAUGCUUCGUAAACAACAGGUGUAGACUAACAGUAAAAUGCUAACUUAAGGGUCCUUCCAAACACUGCAGAGAGAAAAAAAUGAAAAAAAUAAUUGGAAAAAAAUAACACGAGGAAUAAAUCUAAUCAAAUCAAAUCAAAUUGUCUUGGUCACAUACACAUGGUUAGCAGAUGUUAAUGCGAGUGUAGCAAAAUGCUUGUGCUUCUAGUUCCGACCAUUCAGUAAUAACCAACAAGUAAUCUAACUAACAAUUCCAAAACUACUGUCUUAUACACAGUGUAAGGGGAUAAAGAAUAUGUACAUAAAGAUAUAUGAAUGAGUGAUGGUACAGAGCAGCAUAGGCAAGAUACAGUAGAUGGUAUCGAGUACAGUAUAUACAUAUGAAAUGAGUAUGUAAACAAAGUGGCAUAGUUAAAGUGGCUAGUGAUACAUGUAUUACAUAAGAAUGCAGUAGAUGAUAUAGAGUACAGUAUAUACGUAUGCAUAUGAGAUGAAUAAUGUAGGGUAUGUAAACAUUAUAUUAGGUAGCAUUGUUUAAAGUGGCUUGUGAUAUAUUUGACAUCAUUUCCCAUCAAUUCCCAUUAUUAAAGUGGCUGGAGUUGAGUCAGUGUCAGUGUGUUGGCAGCAGCCACUCAAUGUUUGUGGUGGCUGUUUAACAGUCUGAUGGCCUUGAGAUAGAAGCUGUUUAGUUAAAGUGACUAGAUAACUGGAUAGAUAAUAAACAGUAGCAUCAGCGAAUGUGAUGAGUCAAAAUAGUUAGAGCAAAAAGGGUCAAUGUAGAUAGUCUGGGUAGCUAUUUGGUAAACCAUUUAGCAGUCUUAUGGCUUGGGGGUCACAAGCUGGUUAGUUUCCUGAUGAUUCCAGACUUCGGGACCACUUGCCAUAUGGUAGCAGAGAGAACAGUCUAUGACUUGGGUGGUUGGAGUAUUUUGCAAUUGUUAGGGCCUUCCUCUGACACCGUCUGGUAUAGAAGUCUUGGAUAGCAAGGAGCUCAGUCUCAGUGAUGGGCCUUAUGCACUACCCUCUGUAACGCUUGCUGUCAGAUGCCAAGCAGAUGCCAUACCACAUGGUGAUGCAGCCAGUCAAGAUGCUGUCAAUGGUAUAACUUUUUGAGGAUCUGAGCUACCAUGACAAAUCUUUUCAGCCUCCAGCGGGGGAAGAGGUAUUGUCGUGCUUUCUUCACAACUGUGUUGAUGUGAGCGGACCAUGUUAAUUCCUUAAUGAUGUGGACACCGAGGAACUUGAAGCUCUUGACCUGCACCACUAUGGCCCCGUCGAAGUGGACGUGCUUUUCUCUUUGAUUCCUGUAGUCCACGAUCAGCUCUUUUGUCUUGAAGAUGUUGAGAGAGAGGUUGUUGUCCUGGCACCACACUAUCAGGUCACUGACCUUCUCCCUAUACGCUGUCUCGUCGUCGUCGGUGAUCAGGCCUACCACCGUUGUGUCAUCAGCAAACAUAAUGAAGGUGUGAACGCUGAGCUGUAGUCAGUGAACAAGGUUCCUCUUGUCCAGGUGGGAGAGGGCAAUGUGGAAUGCAACAGAGAAUAUGUCCUCUGUGGAUCUGUUGGGGCGGUAAGCGAACUGGACUGAGUCCAGGGUGUCUGGGAUGAUGGUGUUGAUAUGAGCCAUGACCAGCCUUUCCACGAAUGUCAUGGCUACAGAUGUGACUGCUACAGGGCAAUAUUCAUUUAGACAGGUUACCUUGGCGUUCUUGGGCACAGGAACUAUGAUGGUCUGCUUGAAACAUGCUUCUGGUUGGGAUAUGUGCACACGGGCACUGUGGGGAUGACGUCGUCGAUGCACUUAUUCAUGAAUCCUGGAACAUAUUCCAGUCUGUGCUAGCGAAACA
Oncorhynchus keta (chum salmon) is the source of this 3605-nucleotide long non-coding RNA. RefSeq lists it as uncharacterized. The transcript is spliced from 4 exons. Lineage: Eukaryota; Metazoa; Chordata; Actinopteri; Salmoniformes; Salmonidae. The record is from RefSeq and is a predicted model, not a curated record.